Molecule: ribosomal RNA, 685 nt
Filed under: Serratia sp. DF15SB
Lineage: Bacteria; Pseudomonadati; Pseudomonadota; Gammaproteobacteria; Enterobacterales; Yersiniaceae
Description: bacterial SSU rRNA
Rfam family: Bacterial small subunit ribosomal RNA
Source: RNAcentral
AGCUUGCUCCCUGGGUGACGAGCGGCGGACGGGUGAGUAAUGUCUGGGAAACUGCCUGAUGGAGGGGGAUAACUACUGGAAACGGUAGCUAAUACCGCAUAACGUCGCAAGACCAAAGAGGGGGACCUUCGGGCCUCUUGCCAUCAGAUGUGCCCAGAUGGGAUUAGCUAGUAGGUGGGGUAAUGGCUCACCUAGGCGACGAUCCCUAGCUGGUCUGAGAGGAUGACCAGCCACACUGGAACUGAGACACGGUCCAGACUCCUACGGGAGGCAGCAGUGGGGAAUAUUGCACAAUGGGCGCAAGCCUGAUGCAGCCAUGCCGCGUGUGUGAAGAAGGCCUUCGGGUUGUAAAGCACUUUCAGCGAGGAGGAAGGUGAUGAGCUUAAUACGCUCAUCAAUUGACGUUACUCGCAGAAGAAGCACCGGCUAACUCCGUGCCAGCAGCCGCGGUAAUACGGAGGGUGCAAGCGUUAAUCGGAAUUACUGGGCGUAAAGCGCACGCAGGCGGUUUGUUAAGUCAGAUGUGAAAUCCCCGGGCUCAACCUGGGAACUGCAUUUGAAACUGGCAAGCUAGAGUCUCGUAGAGGGGGGUAGAAUUCCAGGUGUAGCGGUGAAAUGCGUAGAGAUCUGGAGGAAUACCGGUGGCGAAGGCGGCCCCCUGGACGAAGACUGACGCUCAGGUGCG